GUUGCAUCUAUAGCGUGCACGGCACUGCAGGUAAACGAAAGGCUGUUGACAGCGUUCCACUUAACUCAAUUACAGCAUUCACCCAUUUAAUAAGAAAGGCGCCGGUCUCGGAAAUCCCUUCUCUCUCUCCCUUCUCUUUCUCCGCCGAUCUCACCAUUCUCUCUCUCUCUCUCUCUCUCUCUCUCAGAGAACCACACACGAAGAGAGAGAGAGAGGACAGCAAAGGAAUGGCCUUCACCAAUCGAGCACCAGCAGUACCACCAUCCGGCCUCGAUCCCGUCAUCUCCAAGCCCCAUCGCUUGUCUGACCUCGACCACAACUUGAUAUUGGGUUACAGAAAUGCAUGUGGAUGGCUUUCGCUUUUAUCUUGCUUCUAUCCUGACGAGGGGUAGCAGUCUAUGGGAUGCAGUUAAUGUAUAUGGCAAUCCAAUGGGUGGUGACUUGCUGACAACCGGCACUCCUUUCAGCAACCCACCAUUAAUUGAUAUAAUUAGCAAUGAUCCAGUACUUCGCGGAGUCAAGGUAAUUACUGUUGGCUCUUUCUUUAUUCUCAUUAGGGAAGUUCGGCCUUUAGUAACAUGCCUACCUAUCUCAGUCAGUGGAGGAAAGAAGAAUAAGUGUUUCCCACUUCUUUUCCAAGUAAAAUUUUAGUACCAGCAAUAUCUUCCCAUCCAUGUGGAGGCAAAUAGAAUGAGGUACAAAAGCUAUUUUGGGUUCAAGUCUCUUCGUCUACAUUUGUUUCUCGCUGCAUUCUUGGUCUCUUGCCGCUGUCUUCUUCUCUAUGUUCGUGGAUGAUUUUCAUAAAGAGCUUAAGCGUUUGGGAUUAUCGUGAUUAAAUAAGUGCUAGCACUAGAAUUGCUUGCCAAUUGCAGGACUUAUUCCUUACAUUAGGUAGUAACCCAUGCCAUCGUUGUGGUGAGAGCACAUUUGUCAGCCUUGAAGUCUUUGAGCACUUGAAGACUCAUGGGAUGAGCACUGCGGAGUUCUCUUUCACCUUCAACAAGAUAAAGGGCUAACCUCCCUGAGUUUUGUUAACUAGGUCGACCAACAAAUGGGGCUUGGUUGACCAAAGCAAGGUCCUUUUUUUUUUGCUAAGGACCAAAGCAAGGUCCUGCAUGCUAUUGAAGCAUCCUACAUUUUGUCAACCAAUGCAGUUUGGUUGGCCAAAGUGGGAAGUCUUUAAACCCAUUGACAUAUAAGCAGUGGCUAUGACUGUGGGGCGUUGGCCCUUAUUUGGCCAAAUUAGUCUGAUGAAGCUUGGUGAUAUAUCCUUGUACUCACUAAUACUCGUGUAUACAUACACACACACACUGAUAUGUUGGGUUGAAUUGGCAAACUUCAUUUGCUUGUUUCUUGUACUUCCUUAGUGAAUUAUCUCAUCAAAUUAGUACAUUAUAUGAUACUCGCAUCUGUGCUGGCUUCUUCUAUUUUCAUUAAUAACUUGCAUUUCAUUUUGUGUCGUU
This is a long non-coding RNA of Rhododendron vialii, 1463 nucleotides long. RefSeq lists it as uncharacterized. The record is from RefSeq and is a predicted model, not a curated record. The transcript is spliced from 3 exons. NCBI's taxonomy places the organism in Eukaryota, Viridiplantae, Streptophyta, Magnoliopsida, Ericales, Ericaceae.